GACUCUUGGAAAUGGAUAUCUCGGCUCUCGCAUCGAUGAAGAACGUAGCAAAAUGCGAUACUUGGUGUGAAUUGCAGAAUCCCGUGAACCAUCGAGUCUUUGAACGCAAGAUGUGCUCCAAGCCUUCUGGCCGAGGGCACGUCUGCCUGGGUGUCA
Molecule: ribosomal RNA, 156 nt
Filed under: Brassica napus (rape)
Lineage: Eukaryota; Viridiplantae; Streptophyta; Magnoliopsida; Brassicales; Brassicaceae
Description: rRNA 5_8S_rRNA
Rfam family: 5.8S ribosomal RNA
About the family: 5.8S ribosomal RNA (5.8S rRNA) is a component of the large subunit of the eukaryotic ribosome. It is transcribed by RNA polymerase I as part of the 45S precursor that also contains 18S and 28S rRNA.
Source: RNAcentral